Acromyrmex echinatior (Panamanian leafcutter ant) is the source of this 1559-nucleotide long non-coding RNA. RefSeq lists it as uncharacterized. NCBI's taxonomy places the organism in Eukaryota, Metazoa, Arthropoda, Insecta, Hymenoptera, Formicidae. The record is from RefSeq and is a predicted model, not a curated record.
UAGUACGUGCGUAUUAUCUCCGCGUCAGAUUUUCCGCGAUCGCCGGCGUGAUCUGGCUGUAACGUGCACUUUCGAGACUGGCAUCAACGUUUGAACGCGUUCCAAAUAGAGUUGUAGUUGCUGACUGCUCCCAAUAAAACGAAACACACGAUAACUUACCUACCUACGUUGUUUCAAGUUUCGCAGUACCAAAAUUUAGUCGCCGAAUGAAUGGCAAAGAAUCGCGUUGGUUUCUCACCGGUGUUAUAAAUCGCGCGAACGUAUGAAAAUUCAAUAGUAGCGGAAGAGGAUUCGGCGGCGCAAAACGCAAAAGGACAAUGCGGAGAACACGCGGAGCGGAACGGAAGCGCACACGUUCGGCCAUGUACCACGAGAAACGACGGAGGAGAACGUUCGAGAGUAAUACGGAAAAUGUAUUUCGCGAAGGACGGUGAGAGGGAGAGACGUGGCCGCUCCAUCGUGCUGCGGCACUACUGCUGCCGUUGCACAGCGACGCUAUAUAACGGACAAGCCGUUUCACGCUACGUUUACCAUUUUAUUUUAUUUCGAAAGACGGCGGCAACAGUUACGUCUAGGAAGCGUCCUCAGCCGCGAAAGACAUCCCCGCCAAGCACGUUUUAUUAUCUUGAAAGCUAUUUUGCCGUCUGCCUACUCGCUAAUAGGAUUGUCAUCUCGCGUGCCUUUUGCUGGACUACGAUAGCGGAUAGUUCCAAUUCUCGGUAUCGCGAACCGUCGACUACAAUUCAAGAUAUUCCAGGUCGCGCCCACCAACUUCGAGUCUCAUUAUAAGCUUUCGGUCCUGGAACGCACCUUCGUGGCAAAAGGGAGAAUAAACUGUGGAAAAACAGAACGGCCUGGAAAAAAGAACAAUCCGAAGACAGUAAUGAUUGCUCCCUUUGUUGCGUCCUGUAAAUUACUACCGUAUGGACAGCCGCGAAGAAAGACCGGACCUAAAAGAGAAAGGACAUCCAGAAUUCAAAGCACGACUUCUAAACUUUUUCGAUGGCUCAAUUUCGCGAGGAGACUCGACGCGCCCUGGCCACGCCCGCCUCGCUCGCGCGACAAUUCCGCCCUACGCCCUCUUUGUCUCCGAAGAGAAGAACGAAGGAUACGGGUUAAUGUCGCCGGGCUGAAGAAGAAACGGAAAAAAAGCAAGAAACUUGCCGGCCAAUUCGCGGACGUGCCGUAGACUCUAAUAUGUUUCGUAUAUCCUACUUGGCCGUUUGUUCUCUCCUUCCCGUACCGCGAAAAAAGAACAAAAGACAUAGAGAGUUGAGGCUCGAAGGGUGGAGCAGCAGAAGAGGAGGAGCUCGAGGUGCUGUGCCAGCAUGUUUCACUGUAGCACUCGAACCCGAUCCCACUUUCAUAAGUUCUCUAAGUUUUGCGGCAGCUAGUAUCUAAUAGUCGGCUUUUCUCUUCCAUUCCCUCUUUCUUUCUCGCAGUUAUACCUUUCCUUACUAAUGUUAACGCUUUCUCACACUUCCUUUCACAAUUUCUAUCCUUUUUUCCACAUUUAAAAUAAUUAAUUCAACAAAAGUCACGUAGAUUUCCAUUAUGGA